Orcinus orca (killer whale) is the source of this 616-nucleotide non-coding RNA. The record is from the annotation of a RefSeq genome assembly. NCBI's taxonomy places the organism in Eukaryota, Metazoa, Chordata, Mammalia, Artiodactyla, Delphinidae.
ACUGCUGCUGUGCAGAAAGGGGCUCUCAGUUUCUAAGUGAGGAGUUUCUAUAAUAUUCAGCUGCAAACUAGCCCCAUUAGAUUUGGUGUAUCCUAGGGAGCAAGGACCGUUGCCAACAUGUUUUCUGCCACUCAUUCUGUUCUUGUGAUCUUCUUAAUAUUCAGAGGGACCAAUGGAGACUCAGUGAACCAGACAGAAGGCCCAGUGACUGUCUCAGAGGGGGCGCCUAGGACCCUGCCCUGCACUUACCAGACCUCUGGUUCAAAUAUCUAUCUUUUCUGGUACGUCCAGUAUCUCAACAAAGCUCCGCAACUCCUCCUGAAGGGCUCGAAGGCAAACCGGAGGGCAGAGCAUCAAGGUUUUCAGGCCACUCUUGUUACGAGUGACAGCUCCUUCCACCUGCAGAAACCCUCAAUGCAAGCAUCAGACUCGGCUGUGUAUUACUGUGCUCUGAGUGACACGGUGAGAGGGGCUGCAGGGGGAGCUGAACACAAACCCAAGGGGAGCAGGAGGGCUGAAGUGAGCAGCCUUGGGAGGAAGAGGUAUAUUCUCUCCUUGGGCAGUGUUUAGUUUAUUUAGAGCUUUUCAGGAAAAUAAAUCAAGCUCAGAUCUAAUU